CCUACGGGGGGCUGCAGUGGGGAAUAUUGCACAAUGGGGGAAACCCUGAUGCAGCAACGUCGCGUGAGCGAAGAAGGCUUUCGAGUCGUAAAGCUCUGUCCUAAGGGAAGAAACCUGACGGUACCGUAGGAGGAAGCCCCGGCUAACUGCGUGCCAGCAGCCGCGGUAAUACGGAGGGGGCAAGCGUUAUCCGGAAUCACUGGGCGUAAAGGGUGCGUAGGCGGCUAAACAAGCCAGGGGUGAAAGGCUACGGCUUAACCGUAGUAAGCCCUUGGAACUGAAUAGCUUGAGUGCAUGAGAGGAUUGUGAAGUUACUAGUGGAGCGGUAUAAUGCAGAGGAUGUAAGAGUUGGUCAAAUGUCGAAGGCGACCCUCUGGUUUGUAAUGGGAGCGGGGGGGUGAAAGCGUUGAGUGCCAACAGAUUUAGAUACCAGGGUAGCC
Molecule: ribosomal RNA, 440 nt
Filed under: uncultured bacterium
Lineage: Bacteria
Description: bacterial SSU rRNA
Rfam family: Bacterial small subunit ribosomal RNA
Source: RNAcentral